This 391-nucleotide ribosomal RNA is filed under the name uncultured bacterium. RNAcentral describes it as "bacterial SSU rRNA". It matches the Rfam family "Bacterial small subunit ribosomal RNA", at positions 28 to 420 of the family's 1533-position model. The record is from RNAcentral.
GACGAACGCUGGCGGCGUGCUUAACACAUGCAAGUCGAGCGGUAAGGCCCUUUCGGGGGUACACGAGCGGCGAACGGGUGAGUAACACGUGGGUGACCUGCCCUCAGCUCUGGGAUAAGCCUGGGAAACCGGGUCUAAUACCGGAUAUGACUCCAUGACGCAUGUUGUGGGGUGGAAAGCCUUGUGCGGCUGAGGAUGGGCCCGCGGCCUAUCAGCUUGUUGGUGGGGUGAUGGCCUACCAAGGCGACGACGGGUAGCCGGCCUGAGAGGGCGACCGGCCACACUGGGACUGAGACACGGCCCAGACUCCUACGGGAGGCAGCAGUGGGGAAUCUUGCGCAAUGGGCGAAAGCCUGACGCAGCGACGCCACGUGAGGGAUGACGGCCUCGG